GGAUGUGUAGCUCAGCAGUUAAGAGCAUGUGCUUAGCAUAUAUGGGGCCCUGGGUUCAAUCCCUAGUGCAUGCG
This 74-nucleotide transfer RNA is filed under the name Fukomys damarensis (Damara mole-rat). It matches the Rfam family "tRNA". From Rfam's summary of the family: Transfer RNA (tRNA) molecules are approximately 80 nucleotides in length. Lineage: Eukaryota; Metazoa; Chordata; Mammalia; Rodentia; Bathyergidae. The record is from Rfam by way of RNAcentral.